GUAGUUAACUUAUUGAAGUUGUACUUGUUAGUAAAAACUAAUUAGAAGGAGUUUUGAAUAGAGUUAUGAGACGCGUACAAAUCGCCCGGCGCCCUUAUAUUAAAAUUAAGGUAAGUCGUAACAUAGUAAUGCUAGUAGAAACUGGUGUUAAG
Molecule: ribosomal RNA, 152 nt
Filed under: Ruditapes philippinarum (Manila clam)
Lineage: Eukaryota; Metazoa; Mollusca; Bivalvia; Venerida; Veneridae
Description: partial 12S ribosomal RNA
Source: RNAcentral